RNAcentral lists this ribosomal RNA (253 nucleotides) under uncultured bacterium. RNAcentral describes it as "partial 16S ribosomal RNA". It matches the Rfam family "Bacterial small subunit ribosomal RNA", at positions 524 to 776 of the family's 1533-position model. The record is from RNAcentral.
UACGGAGGGAGCUAGCGUUGUUCGGAAUUACUGGGCGUAAAGGGCUCGUAGGCGGCCGGCUAAGUCCGACGUGAAAUCCCCAGGCUUAACCUGGGAACUGCGUCGGAUACUGGCGGGCUUGAAUCCGGGAGAGGGAUGCGGAAUUCCAGGUGUAGCGGUGAAAUGCGUAGAUAUCUGGAGGAACACCGGUGGCGAAGGCGGCAUCCUGGACCGGCAUUGACGCUGAAUAGCGAAAGCCAGGGGAGCAAACGGG